Molecule: ribosomal RNA, 385 nt
Filed under: Repipta sp. 00002749
Lineage: Eukaryota; Metazoa; Arthropoda; Insecta; Hemiptera; Reduviidae
Description: partial 16S ribosomal RNA
Rfam family: Bacterial large subunit ribosomal RNA (bases 248-385)
Source: RNAcentral
GCUUUCUUUAACUUAUUUAAUUAAUUUAAUUUUUUAGUUAAAAAGCUGAAAUUUAUUUAAGGGACGAGAAGACCCUAUAGAUCUUUAUAAUUUAAUUUAUAGUUUAUUAUAGAAAUUUAUUUUUAUUAUAAUUUAACUUAUUUGAUUGGGGUGAUUGUAAAAUAUUAUUAACUUUUAUUUUAUCUAUUCAUUAAUUAAUGUUUAUUUUGAUCCAAAAAUUUUGAUUAAAAGAUUAAGUUACCUUAGGGAUAACAGCGUAAUUUUUUUGGAGAGUUCUUAUCGAUAAAGGAGUUUGCGACCUCGAUGUUGGAUUAAAAUAAGUUUUGGGUGUAGAAGCUUUAAAACUAGGUCUGUUCGACCUUUAAUUUUUUACAUGAUCUGAGUU